Molecule: small RNA, 132 nt
Filed under: Salmonella enterica
Lineage: Bacteria; Pseudomonadati; Pseudomonadota; Gammaproteobacteria; Enterobacterales; Enterobacteriaceae
Also listed under: 1 other name
Description: RtT sRNA
Rfam family: RtT RNA
About the family: This family represents a bacterial cis-regulatory element known as RtT RNA. The exact function of RtT is unknown although it is thought that it may be involved in changing the cellular response in relation to amino acid starvation.
Source: RNAcentral
UAUCUCUCCGUACGGGGAAGGAUGAGAAGCUUCGACCAAGGUUCGAUUCGAGCGUCAGCGAGAAAGCGUUGCCGCAGGCAACGACCCGAAGGGUGAGGAGCGGAGCGACGAAUAAUCCUUCCCCCACCAUCA